GGAUGGGUGGCCGAGUGGUUUAAGGCAGCGGUCUUGAAAACCGCCGACGUGCAAGCGUCCGUGGGUUCGAAUCCCACCCCAUCCGCCA
RNAcentral lists this transfer RNA (88 nucleotides) under Sphingomonas naphthae. Its description in RNAcentral is "tRNA-Ser". It matches the Rfam family "tRNA". From Rfam's summary of the family: Transfer RNA (tRNA) molecules are approximately 80 nucleotides in length. Lineage: Bacteria; Pseudomonadati; Pseudomonadota; Alphaproteobacteria; Sphingomonadales; Sphingomonadaceae. The record is from RNAcentral.